GCCAGGUGUGGUGGUACACACCUGUAAUCCUAGCAACUCAGGAGGCUGAGGCAGGAGGACCACAAGUCAGAGGCCAGCCUGGGAAACUUGGUGAGGAGACCCUGUCUCAA
RNAcentral lists this small RNA (110 nucleotides) under Marmota monax (woodchuck). Lineage: Eukaryota; Metazoa; Chordata; Mammalia; Rodentia; Sciuridae. The record is from RNAcentral.